Non-coding RNA from Cinara cedri, 220 nucleotides. Lineage: Eukaryota; Metazoa; Arthropoda; Insecta; Hemiptera; Aphididae. The record is from the annotation of a GenBank genome assembly.
AAUAAACAUCCAUUUACGAUUUACGUGGAUUUUGAAUGUUUAUUGGAAAAAGAACCAGAUGCACAACAAAAUAAUAAUACAAAAAUAAUCCACCACCAUGGAGUCAUGAGCUAUUGUUAUUAUAUAAAAACAUCAGAUGACGUCUCAAGCGAAUUAUUAGAGUAGCAUAACAUAAAGACUGGUCCGGUUGUAUUUAGGGGAAAUUCGAGUAUGAACAAAG